This 547-nucleotide ribosomal RNA is filed under the name uncultured fungus. Its description in RNAcentral is "eukaryotic LSU rRNA". It matches the Rfam family "Eukaryotic large subunit ribosomal RNA", at positions 86 to 648 of the family's 3401-position model. The record is from RNAcentral. Lineage: Eukaryota; Fungi.
ACGGCGAGUGAGCGGUAACAGCUCAAAUUUGAAAUCUGGGUCUUUCAGGCUCCGAGUUGUAAUUUGUAGAAGAUGCUUCGGGUGCGGCUCCGGUCUAAGUUCCUUGGAACAGGACGUCAUAGAGGGUGAGAAUCCCGUAUGUGAUCGGUUGCUUGCGCCCAUGUGAAGCUCUUUCGACGAGUCGAGUUGUUUGGGAAUGCAGCUCAAAAUGGGUGGUAAAUUUCAUCUAAAGCUAAAUAUUGGCCAGAGACCGAUAGCGCACAAGUAGAGUGAUCGAAAGAUGAAAAGCACUUUGGAAAGAGAGUUAAACAGUACGUGAAAUUGUUGAAAGGGAAGCGCUUGCAACCAGACUUGCGCGUUGCCGAUCAUCCGGGGUUCUCCCCGGUGCACUCGGCCUCGCUCAGGCCAGCAUCGGUUUUGGUGGUGGGAUAAAGGCCUUGGGAAUGUAGCUCCUUUCGGGGAGUGUUAUAGCCCUCGGUGCAAUGCCGCCUACCGGGACCGAGGACCGCGCUUCGGCUAGGAUGCUGGCGUAAUGGUUGUAAGCGAC